RNAcentral lists this ribosomal RNA (383 nucleotides) under uncultured bacterium. Its description in RNAcentral is "bacterial SSU rRNA". It matches the Rfam family "Bacterial small subunit ribosomal RNA", at positions 29 to 417 of the family's 1533-position model. The record is from RNAcentral.
AGCGAACGUUUGCGGCGGGCCUAACACAUGCAAGUCGAACGGGCUAGCAAUAGUCAGUGGCGCACGGGUGCGUAACACGUGGGUAAUCAACCCUUCAGCUCGGGAUAACGCCUUGAAAGGGGCGCUAAUACCGGAUACGACGCGAGGAGCUUCGGCUGCUUGCGGGAAAGAUUCGCAAGGAUCUCUGAAGGACGAGCCUGCGGCCCAUCAGCUAGUUGGUGAGGUAAGAGCUCACCAAGGCGAAGACGGGUAGCUGGUCUGAGAGGAUGGCCAGCCACACUGGAACUGAGACACGGUCCAGACUCCUACGGGAGGCAGCAGUGGGAAUCUUGCGCAAUGGGCGAAAGCCUGACGCAGCGACGCCGCGUGGGCGAAGAAGGCCU